CCCUUAGAUGUUCUGGGCCGCACACGCGCUACACUGAAGGAGGCAGCGUGUACUCCUGGAUCGAAAGAUUUGGGUAACCCGCGAAUCUCCUUCGUGCUAGGGAUUGAGGUUUGCAAUUAUCCUUCAUGAACGAGGAAUUCCCAGUAAGUGCAAGUCAUAAGCUUGCGCUGACUACGUCCCUGCCCCUUGUACACACCGCCCGUCGCUACUACCGAUUGAAUGAUUUAGUGAGGACUUCGGACUGGGACCGAUGCGGCUUUCGGGCUGCGUCGGUAUUCUGGAAAGAUGUCCAAACUGUAUCAUUUAGAGGAAGUAAAANUCGUAACA
This 327-nucleotide ribosomal RNA is filed under the name uncultured eukaryote. RNAcentral describes it as "partial 18S ribosomal RNA". It matches the Rfam family "Eukaryotic small subunit ribosomal RNA", at positions 1470 to 1796 of the family's 1831-position model. The record is from RNAcentral.